CCAAUAGCGUAUAUUAAAGUUGUUGCAGUUAAAAAGCUCGUAGUUGAAUUUCGGAAUCAGUAUGUUGGUCGUGCUUCGGUACGUACUGUCAUUUCUGGUUUCUCCCUUCUGAAGAACCAUGAUGUCAUUAAUUUGGUGUCAUGGGGAAUCAGGACUGUUACUUUGAAAAAAUUAGAGUGUUUAAAGCAGGCACACGCUUGAAUACAUUAGCAUGGAAUAAUGAAAUAGGACGUUUGAUUCUAUUUUGUUGGUUUCUAGGAUCGACGUAAUGAUUAAUAGGGAUAGUUGGGGGCAUUAGUAUUCAAUUGUCAGAGGUGAAAUUCUUGGAUUUAUUGAAGACUAACUACUGCGAAAGCAUUUGCCAAGGAUGUUUUCAUUAAUCAAGAACGAAAGUUAGGGGAUCGAAGACGAUCAGAUACCGUCGUAGUCUUAACCAUAAACUAUGCCGACUAGGGAUCGGAUGAUGUUAUUUUUGAUGACUCAUUCGGCGCCUUACG
This 497-nucleotide ribosomal RNA is filed under the name uncultured Glomeromycotina. RNAcentral's name for it is "partial small subunit ribosomal RNA". It matches the Rfam family "Eukaryotic small subunit ribosomal RNA", at positions 591 to 1092 of the family's 1831-position model. Lineage: Eukaryota; Fungi; Glomeromycota. The record is from RNAcentral.